RNAcentral lists this ribosomal RNA (226 nucleotides) under uncultured bacterium. Its description in RNAcentral is "partial 16S ribosomal RNA". It matches the Rfam family "Bacterial small subunit ribosomal RNA", at positions 109 to 334 of the family's 1533-position model. The record is from RNAcentral.
AGUAACAACGUGAGUAACCUGCCCUUCACUCUGGGAUAACGUCGGGAAACCGGUGCUAAUACUGGAUAUGACCUACUCGGGCAUCCGAUGUGGGUGGAAAGAUUUAUUGGUGGGGGAUGGACUCGCGGCCUAUCAGCUUGUUGGUGAGGUAAUGGCUUACCAAGGCGACGACGGGUAGCCGGCCUGAGAGGGCGAUCGGCCACACUGGGACUGAGACACGGCCCAG